This 77-nucleotide transfer RNA is filed under the name bacterium. RNAcentral's name for it is "tRNA-Arg". It matches the Rfam family "tRNA". Rfam says of the family: Transfer RNA (tRNA) molecules are approximately 80 nucleotides in length. Their secondary structure includes four short double-helical elements and three loops (D, anti-codon, and T loops). Further hydrogen bonds mediate the characteristic L-shaped molecular structure. tRNAs have two regions of fundamental functional importance: the anti-codon, which is responsible for specific mRNA codon recognition, and the 3' end, to which the tRNAs corresponding amino acid is attached (by aminoacyl-tRNA synthetases). tRNAs cope with the degeneracy of the genetic code in two manners: having more than one tRNA (with a specific anti-codon) for a particular amino acid; and 'wobble' base-pairing, i.e. permitting non-standard base-pairing at the 3rd anti-codon position. The record is from RNAcentral.
GCACCCGUAGCUCAAUUGGAUAGAGCGUCUGGCUACGGACCAGAAGGCUGAGGGUUCGAGUCCUUCCGGGUGUACAA